Capsella rubella is the source of this 208-nucleotide long non-coding RNA. RefSeq lists it as uncharacterized. NCBI's taxonomy places the organism in Eukaryota, Viridiplantae, Streptophyta, Magnoliopsida, Brassicales, Brassicaceae. The transcript has 2 exons. The record is from RefSeq and is a predicted model, not a curated record.
UGACAUAUUCAGAUUUAUAAUUCUUUUGACAAUCGAAUUAUAAGCAAAUAGGCUUUAAUAAGAAGCAUAUAAGGACAGAAGAGGAUGAUGAACGAAGGAAGAGAGUGAGGAUGAACAAUUAACGAUCUGAAGCUGGUUCGGCUUCAUUGACCAACUCUCGUUCUGUGCGCUUUGCUAUGGCUUAAAAAUCAAAUGAAAACUCUCUCGU